CAGCCGCCGCGGGAACACGUAGGGUGCAAGCGUUAAUCGGAAUUACUGGGCGUAAAGCGUGCGCAGGCGGUUAUAUAAGACAGAUGUGAAAUCCCCGGGCUCAACCUGGGACCUGCAUUUGUGACUGUAUAGCUAGAGUACGGUAGAGGGGGAUGGAAUUCCGCGUGUAGCAGUGAAAUGCGUAGAUAUGCGGAGGAACACCGAUGGCGAGGGCAAUCCCCUGGACCUGUACUGACGCUCAUGCACGAAAGCGUGGGGAGCAAACAGGAUUAGAUACCCCAGUAGUCCCUGUCUCUUAUAA
RNAcentral lists this ribosomal RNA (301 nucleotides) under uncultured bacterium. RNAcentral describes it as "partial 16S ribosomal RNA". It matches the Rfam family "Bacterial small subunit ribosomal RNA", at positions 509 to 809 of the family's 1533-position model. The record is from RNAcentral.